RNAcentral lists this ribosomal RNA (2645 nucleotides) under Escherichia coli. RNAcentral describes it as "bacterial LSU rRNA". It matches the Rfam family "Bacterial large subunit ribosomal RNA". The record is from RNAcentral. Lineage: Bacteria; Pseudomonadati; Pseudomonadota; Gammaproteobacteria; Enterobacterales; Enterobacteriaceae.
GGAGGAGCCCAGAGCCUGAAUCAGUGUGUGUGUUAGUGGAAGCGUCUGGAAAGGCGCGCGAUACAGGGUGACAGCCCCGUACACAAAAAUGCACAUAUUGUGAGCUCGAUGAGUAGGGCGGGACACGUGGUAUCCUGUCUGAAUAUGGGGGGACCAUCCUCCAAGGCUAAAUACUCCUGACUGACCGAUAGUGAACCAGUACCGUGAGGGAAAGGCGAAAAGAACCCCGGCGAGGGGAGUGAAAAAGAACCUGAAACCGUGUACGUACAAGCAGUGGGAGCCUCUUAAUGGGGUGACUGCGUACCUUUUGUAUAAUGGGUCAGCGACUUAUAUUCUGUAGCAAGGUUAACCGAAUAGGGGAGCCGAAGGGAAACCGAGUCUUAACUGGGCGUUAAGUUGCAGGGUAUAGACCCGAAACCCGGUGAUCUAGCCAUGGGCAGGUUGAAGGUUGGGUAACACUAACUGGAGGACCGAACCGACUAAUGUUGAAAAAUUAGCGGAUGACUUGUGGCUGGGGGUGAAAGGCCAAUCAAACCGGGAGAUAGCUGGUUCUCCCCGAAAGCUAUUUAGGUAGCGCCUCGUGAAUUCAUCUCCGGGGGUAGAGCACUGUUUCGGCAAGGGGGUCAUCCCGACUUACCAACCCGAUGCAAACUGCGAAUACCGGAGAAUGUUAUCACGGGAGACACACGGCGGGUGCUAACGUCCGUCGUGAAGAGGGAAACAACCCAGACCGCCAGCUAAGGUCCCAAAGUCAUGGUUAAGUGGGAAACGAUGUGGGAAGGCCCAGACAGCCAGGAUGUUGGCUUAGAAGCAGCCAUCAUUUAAAGAAAGCGUAAUAGCUCACUGGUCGAGUCGGCCUGCGCGGAAGAUGUAACGGGGCUAAACCAUGCACCGAAGCUGCGGCAGCGACACUAUGUGUUGUUGGGUAGGGGAGCGUUCUGUAAGCCUGUGAAGGUGGCCUGUGAGGGUUGCUGGAGGUAUCAGAAGUGCGAAUGCUGACAUAAGUAACGAUAAAGCGGGUGAAAAGCCCGCUCGCCGGAAGACCAAGGGUUCCUGUCCAACGUUAAUCGGGGCAGGGUGAGUCGACCCCUAAGGCGAGGCCGAAAGGCGUAGUCGAUGGGAAACAGGUUAAUAUUCCUGUACUUGGUGUUACUGCGAAGGGGGGACGGAGAAGGCUAUGUUGGCCGGGCGACGGUUGUCCCGGUUUAAGCGUGUAGGCUGAUUUUCCAGGCAAAUCCGGAAAAUCAAGGCUGAGGCGUGAUGACGAGGCACUACGGUGCUGAAGCAACAAAUGCCCUGCUUCCAGGAAAAGCCUCUAAGCAUCAGGUAACAUCAAAUCGUACCCCAAACCGACACAGGUGGUCAGGUAGAGAAUACCAAGGCGCUUGAGAGAACUCGGGUGAAGGAACUAGGCAAAAUGGUGCCGUAACUUCGGGAGAAGGCACGCUGAUAUGUAGGUGAAGCGACUUGCUCGUGGAGCUGAAAUCAGUCGAAGAUACCAGCUGGCUGCAACUGUUUAUUAAAAACACAGCACUGUGCAAACACGAAAGUGGACGUAUACGGUGUGACGCCUGCCCGGUGCCGGAAGGUUAAUUGAUGGGGUUAGCGGUAACGCGAAGCUCUUGAUCGAAGCCCCGGUAAACGGCGGCCGUAACUAUAACGGUCCUAAGGUAGCGAAAUUCCUUGUCGGGUAAGUUCCGACCUGCACGAAUGGCGUAAUGAUGGCCAGGCUGUCUCCACCCGAGACUCAGUGAAAUUGAACUCGCUGUGAAGAUGCAGUGUACCCGCGGCAAGACGGAAAGACCCCGUGAACCUUUACUAUAGCUUGACACUGAACAUUGAGCCUUGAUGUGUAGGAUAGGUGGGAGGCUUUGAAGUGUGGACGCCAGUCUGCAUGGAGCCGACCUUGAAAUACCACCCUUUAAUGUUUGAUGUUCUAACGUUGGCCCGUAAUCCGGGUUGCGGACAGUGUCUGGUGGGUAGUUUGACUGGGGCGGUCUCCUCCUAAAGAGUAACGGAGGAGCACGAAGGUUGGCUAAUCCUGGUCGGACAUCAGGAGGUUAGUGCAAUGGCAUAAGCCAGCUUGACUGCGAGCGUGACGGCGCGAGCAGGUGCGAAAGCAGGUCAUAGUGAUCCGGUGGUUCUGAAUGGAAGGGCCAUCGCUCAACGGAUAAAAGGUACUCCGGGGAUAACAGGCUGAUACCGCCCAAGAGUUCAUAUCGACGGCGGUGUUUGGCACCUCGAUGUCGGCUCAUCACAUCCUGGGGCUGAAGUAGGUCCCAAGGGUAUGGCUGUUCGCCAUUUAAAGUGGUACGCGAGCUGGGUUUAGAACGUCGUGAGACAGUUCGGUCCCUAUCUGCCGUGGGCGCUGGAGAACUGAGGGGGGCUGCUCCUAGUACGAGAGGACCGGAGUGGACGCAUCACUGGUGUUCGGGUUGUCAUGCCAAUGGCACUGCCCGGUAGCUAAAUGCGGAAGAGAUAAGUGCUGAAAGCAUCUAAGCACGAAACUUGCCCCGAGAUGAGUUCUCCCUGAGACUUAGAGUCUCCUGAAGGAACGUUGAAGACGACGACGUUGAUAGGCCGGGUGUGUAAGCGCAGCGAUGCGUUGAGCUAACCGGUACUAAUGAACCGUGAGGCUUAACCUU